AAGUCGUAACAAGGUUUCCGUAGGUGAACCUGCGGAAGGAUCAUUAUCGAGUUCUUGCCCUUCGGGGUAGCCCUCCCCACCCUUUUGUUUACAUACCCUGUUGCUUUGGCGGGACCGCCUUCGGGCUGCUGGCGCUCCGGCUAGCCCGCGCCCGCCAGAGACCCCCUCCAACGCUGCAUCAUCCCGUCGUCCGAGUAUCAUAUUAAUAUUCAAAACUUUCAACAACGGAUCUCUUGGUUCUGGCAUCGAUGAAGAACGCAGCGAAAUGCGAUAAAUAAUGUGAAUUGCAGAACUCAGUGAAUCAUCGAAUCUUUGAACGCACAUUGCGCCCCUUGGUAUUCCGGGGGGCAUGCCUGUCCGAGCGUCAUGUCAAAAACUCGAGCCUUGCUUGGUGUUGGGCUCCGUCGGCAACGACUGGCCCUGAAUUCAGUGGCGGUGCCGCUGGAUCCCUAGCCGUUUGCAAGACUUUUCGCUACGGGACCCCGCGGCCACCAAGCCAGCACACCCUACUUCGUACUGGUGGACCUCGGAUCAGGCAGGAGUACCCGCUGAAUUUAA
RNAcentral lists this ribosomal RNA (558 nucleotides) under Rhymbocarpus fuscoatrae. RNAcentral describes it as "eukaryotic LSU rRNA". The stretch from base 214 to 367 matches the Rfam family "5.8S ribosomal RNA". Lineage: Eukaryota; Fungi; Ascomycota; Leotiomycetes; Helotiales; Cordieritidaceae. The record is from RNAcentral.